AAGUCGAACGAAGUAGCAAUACUUAGUGGCAGACGGGUGAGUAACAUGUAGGUAUCUGCCCUUUGGCCUGGAAUAACACGAGGAAACUUGUGCUAAUACCGGAUAAGUCUUUACGGAGAAAGCUUUAUGCACCAUUGGAUGAGCCUGCACUUGAUUAGUUUGUUGGUGGGGUAAUGGCCUACCAAGACUGUGAUCAAUAGCUGAUUUGAGAGGAUGAUCAGCCACAUUGGGACUGAGACACGGCCCAAACUCCUACGGGAGGCAGCAGUGGGGAAUCUUGCACAAUGGAGGAAACUCUGAUGCAGCGAUGCCGCGUGAGUGAAGAAGGCCCUUGGGUUGUAAAGCUCUUUCGUCGGGGAAGAAAAUGACUGUACCCGAAUAAGAAGGUCCGGCUAACUCCGUGCCAGCAGCCGCGGUAAUACGAAGGGACCUAGCGUAGUUCGGAAUUACUGGGCUUAAAGAGUUCGUAAGUGGUUGAAAAAGUUAGUGGUGAAAUCCCAGAGCUUAACUCUGGAACUGCCAUUAAAACUUUUCGGCUAGAGUAUGAUAGAGGAAAGCAGAAUUUCUAGUGUAGAGGUGAAAUUCGUAGAUAUUAGAAAGAAUACCAAUUGCGAAGGCAGCUUUCUGGAUCAUUACUGACACUGAGGAACGAAAGCAUGGGUAGCGAAGAGGAUUAGAUACCCUCGUAGUCCAUGCCGUAAACGAUGUGUGUUAGACGUUGGAAAUUUAUUUUCAGUGUCGCAGGGAAACCGAUAAACACACCGCCUGGGGAGUACGACCGCAAGGUUAAAACUCAAAUGAAUUGACGGGGACCCGCACAAGUAGUGG
This 828-nucleotide ribosomal RNA is filed under the name uncultured marine bacterium. RNAcentral describes it as "bacterial SSU rRNA". It matches the Rfam family "Bacterial small subunit ribosomal RNA", at positions 59 to 935 of the family's 1533-position model. The record is from RNAcentral.